Oncorhynchus tshawytscha (Chinook salmon) is the source of this 974-nucleotide long non-coding RNA. NCBI's taxonomy places the organism in Eukaryota, Metazoa, Chordata, Actinopteri, Salmoniformes, Salmonidae. The record is from Ensembl.
CAACAUGUCCCUCAGACCAGGUCCCUAUAGAGGGGACCAGACUGGACCAGACCAACAUGUCCCUCAGACCAGGUCCCUAUAGAGGGGACCAGACUGGACCAGACCAACAUGUCCCUCAGACCAGGUCUCUAUAGAGGGGACCAGACUGGACCAGACCAACAUGUCCCUCAGACCUGGUCCCUAUAGAGGGGACGAGACUGGACCAGACUGGACCAGACCAACAUGUCCCUCUGACCAGGUCCCUAUAGAGGGGGACCAGACUGGACCAGACCAACAUGUCCCUCUGACCAGGUCUCUAUAGAGGGGGACCAGACUGGACCAGACCAACAUGUCCCUCUGACCAGGUCCCUAUAGAGCGGACCAGACUGGACCAGACCAACAUGUCCCUCUGACCAGGUCCCUAUAGAGCGGACCUGACUGGACCGGACCAGCAUGUCCCUCUGACCAGGUCCCUAUAGAGCGGACCAGACUGGACCAGACCAACAUGUUCCUCUGACCAGGUCCCUAUAGAGCGGACCAGACUGGACCAGACCAACAUGUUCCUCUGACCAGGUCCCUAUAGAGCGGACCAGACUGGACCGGACCAGCAUGUUCCUCUGAACAUGGAGGAUGUGUGUUUUUACAAGUCUGAUGGUAAUCUGUGAUAAAGAUGUCACAUGGAUCGAUCAAUCAAAAAGGACUACAGCAGUGUCAUAAUGACUGAUGCUUGGUUUACCAAUGACCACUGAUGGUGGUCCUGGCAAUGCUAAUCAGGUGUUCAAUGUUUGGGAUUCCACAUGGACCAGGAAGAAGAAAUGAACUGACUGAACACAGGCAGGAACAGCAUGCCCCAUUCCCUUUGGAUUAGGGAGAAUUCUGGGAAACGAUCAAUGAAAGACAUGGAAUCUGGAGCUUAGCUCUGUCAAAGUCAAUUUAUGAAUACUUGAUCCACAGUAUGUUACAAAUAAGAUACAUUUUGCACAUGAAUGUUACGA